This 425-nucleotide ribosomal RNA is filed under the name Amaurobioides sp. BDO-27. RNAcentral's name for it is "partial 16S ribosomal RNA". The record is from RNAcentral. Lineage: Eukaryota; Metazoa; Arthropoda; Arachnida; Araneae; Anyphaenidae.
UAACAAAAACAUUUCUAUUAGAUUUUAUUAAUAGUAUAAUCUGCUCAAUGAUAUUAAAUAGCCGCUAUUACUGUGCUAAGGUAGCAUAAUCAUUUGUCUUUUAAUUAAAGACUAGAACAAAAGAUUGAACAUUUUAAUUAAUAUAUUUAAAUUAAUUAAUUAAAUUUAUUUUAAAUGUAAAAAAACAUUUAUAAAUUAGAAAGACGAUAAGACCCUAUUAAACUUAACUUAAGUUAAACUGGGGCAGUUAAUUAAUUAUUACUUUAAUUUAAAUUAAAAAAUAAAUAGAUCCUAUAAAAUAGAUUAAAUGAUCAAGUUACUAUAGGGAUAACAGCGUAAUAUUAAUUAAAAGAUCUUAUUUAAAUAAAAGAUUACGACCUCGAUGUUGAAUUAAUAACCUAUAUAGUUGCAAUAAACAAUAAAGG